CCUACGGGAGGCAGCAGUGGGGAAUCUUGGGCAAUGGAGGAAACUCUGAUCCAGCAACGCCGCGUGAAUGAUGAAGGUCUUCGGAUCGUAAAGUUCUUUUCUAAGGGAAGAAGAAGGUGACGAGACCUUAGGAAUAAGUCUCCGCUAACUACGUGCCAGCAGCCGCGGUAAUACGUAGGAGGCAAGCGUUAUCCGGAAUGACUGGGCGUAAAGGGUGCGUAGGUGGUUUGACAAGUUGGAAGCGAAAGUCCGAGGCUUAACCUCGGCACUACUACCAAAACUGGUGGACUCGAGUGCAGGAGAGGAGAAUGGAACUCCUAGUGUAGCGGUGGAAUGCGUAGAUAUUAGGAGGAACACCAGUGGCGAAGGCGAUUUGCUGGACUGUAACUGACACUGAGGCACGAAAGCGUGGGGAGCAAACAGGAUUAGAUACCCUUGUAGUC
This 443-nucleotide ribosomal RNA is filed under the name uncultured bacterium. RNAcentral's name for it is "partial 16S ribosomal RNA". It matches the Rfam family "Bacterial small subunit ribosomal RNA", at positions 338 to 795 of the family's 1533-position model. The record is from RNAcentral.